This 158-nucleotide ribosomal RNA is filed under the name Saccharomyces pastorianus. RNAcentral's name for it is "5.8S rRNA". It matches the Rfam family "5.8S ribosomal RNA". Rfam says of the family: 5.8S ribosomal RNA (5.8S rRNA) is a component of the large subunit of the eukaryotic ribosome. It is transcribed by RNA polymerase I as part of the 45S precursor that also contains 18S and 28S rRNA. Functionally, it is thought that 5.8S rRNA may be involved in ribosome translocation. Lineage: Eukaryota; Fungi; Ascomycota; Saccharomycetes; Saccharomycetales; Saccharomycetaceae. The record is from RNAcentral.
UUCAACAACGGUUCUCUUGGUUCUCGCAUCGAUGAAGAACGCAGCGAAAUGCGAUACGUAAUGUGAAUUGCAGAAUUCCGUGAAUCAUCGAAUCUUUGAACGCACAUUGCGCCCCUUGGUAUUCCAGGGGCAUGCCUGUUUGAGCGUCAUUUCCUUCU